UGGGGAAUUUUGGACAAUGGGGGCAACCCUGAUCCAGCCAUUCCGCGUGAGUGAAGAAGGCCUUCGGGUUGUAAAGCUCUUUUGUCCGGAACGAAACGGUUGAGGCUAAUACUCUCGACUACUGACGGUACCGGAAGAAUAAGCACCGGCUAACUACGUGCCAGCAGCCGCGGUAAUACGUAGGGGGCGAGCGUUGUCCGGAGUUACUGGGCGUAAAGGGCACGCAGGCGGUGCGGCGCGUUUCGCGUGACAGCGGAGGGCUUACCUCUCCGAGGAUGCGAAAGACGGCGGCACUUGAGGGCCAGAGAGGGACACGGAAUUCCGGGUGGAGUGGUGAAAUGCGUAGAGAUCCGGAGGAACACCGAAGGCGAAGGCAGUGUCCUGGCUGGUGACUGACGCUGAGGUGCGAAAGCUAGGGGAGCGAAC
Molecule: ribosomal RNA, 426 nt
Filed under: uncultured bacterium
Lineage: Bacteria
Description: bacterial SSU rRNA
Rfam family: Bacterial small subunit ribosomal RNA
Source: RNAcentral